UUUUUUUUUUUCUUUUUUGUUUUUGCUUCUUUGUUUCUAUUAACCCAGGGAACCAAAAUGAUCAUCACAAAAUUGACCUGAGGAAUUUAUACUUUUCUUCUUCCCUCCUUUGAGUCUGGGUCUCUCUUCUCCUCCCUCCAGAUUUCAAAUUGGCUCCAGAUUUUAUAUGAGAAGCAGUAACAGAUCUAAAAGAAACAAACUGAGAAGGAAUUUAAGGAGCAAACUAACUGAUGAACUCUAAUCUGCUCGCUACAGGUUUGAGUGAAAAAUCCAUGCUAUGCUCAAGAAGAAUUCAGCCAUUCACAGAGGAGGUCAGGUCAGGCUGAUGUCUAUAUUUGGCAUCUCAAAAAAAAAAAAAAAAAUUACAUCAUUUAUACAUUCAACAUUUAGGGAACACUUUACCAAGAGUCUGGCUAGUUGUUACAGAUUAUCGAGUUGAAUAAAACAAGGCUUUUUCUGCCUCCAAGAUUCAAUUAGGUAACUGCCAACACCACCGCUCAUAUAUUUUCACACACCUGUCUUCUCACUGAAUCUGUAAUUUUUACUUAGGGCAAGAACAGUAUUCAUUUACAUAUGCUUAGUAAACACUAGCUGAUGAUUUACUAAAGGCUCCUGUGCUUUAUGAGUUCAUGGUGAAACAAAAGAGUUGAGCAUAUAAAUAGCAAAUUAAGAUUACAGGAUAAUACUGCUGCUACAGAGAAAAGAGCCAAAGCAUGGGGCCACAAAGGAAGCCUGCUGAGGCAGGGGUAGGCGUAACCGCAGAUGUGACACUGAAAUAAGAGUUGAAAGAUAAGGAGAACUCUAUCAGUGGAGGAAAAGUGAUAGUAGAGGGAACUUCCUGCAGAGAAAACAGCAUGUACAAAAAUAACUAAUAGCUAAUAAUUAUCAAGGACUUUUUGGGAGUUCCCAUCGUGGCGCAGAGAAACGAAUCCGACUAGUAACCAUGAGGCUGCAGGUUUGAUCCCUGGCCUUGUUCAGUGGUUAAGGAUCUGGAGUUGCCAUGAGGUCGAAUAUGCGGCUCGGAUCCUGCAUUGCUGUGGCUGUGGUGUAGGCCGGCAGCUGUAGCUCCAAUCAACCCCUAGCCUGGGAACCUCCAUAUGCCAUGGGUGUGGCCUGAAAAAGCAAAAAAAAAAAAAAAAAAAGAAUUAUAUGAAACAGGUUGAGAAUAUAUUAAGGAUUAAUUCAAUCAUAGUUAUUAUAUUUCAGGAAAGAAAUAGCAUAUAUGGAAUGCCUAUGCCAUAAAAUAAUUUUCAUAUAUUAUUUCAUCUCUACAGCAACCCUGUAGAGUAUAAAAACCCUAUGAUGCUAUCACUUUAAUCUUACAUUGAGGAAAAUGAGACUCAGAGGCAUUUAAGUAACUUGUCCAAGGUCACACAGGUAGCACUUAGCAGAGCCUGCUUUCAGACCAAGGUCUUUCUGAGUCCAAAGCCUCAGUCUCUGUUCUUUGCAGUUUACCUGCCUGCACCCCAGAUAAGUUCCAGUGUAGAAAAAAUAAGGAGGAAUCAGAUAUGCCCCAAAUGUCUGAGGUCAGUGUGAGGGACUAGAAAGGAAAGAUUGGAUCACAUUCACAUGUAGCUUGGGAUGUGUAUGAAAAAUGUUUGGAACAUGUGCAAGAUGAGGCAGGGGAGAAACCAAAAGGGAAGAAGACAGCCAACAGCAAAUGUCAUGCUCCUCAACUUCUCUUUCAGCUAAUAACACAAUAAUAGUAGAGAUGACUCAUAAUCAUAUUUCAGUCCUUGUGCUAGGAGUCUCCAAGGUAAAAAUCCCAUAUUGUAAUACCAGUGUGUUGUUUCCUCUUGAUCUUACUACCAUUAUGUCCCAGAAAAUGUUCCAAAACCUAACAGAGGAAGUUCAGAAAAAUCACAGGAAAUAUCUAAUCUCCUUUAUUCUAAGAAAUGGAAACAAACUCUUCAAGGUUAGUUCUUAUGUGCAUCAUUAGCAUCAAAGCAUGUUGGAAGAGGAUUCAGGUAACUAAUAAAGCAUAGAUGGCUUCAAAUCACCCUACAGAAAAACAAAAGCUCUUUCACAAUAACAUAACAAAAAAACUUGAUUUCUGGUGUUUUCCUCUGUCACACAGCUCCCCUAAACUUGGAACAAAUAGGCCUUUGCAUUCUCCAGUCAAUGCCCAGGAAACUUUCAUGCUGUAAAUGUUUUGAGUCAUGCAGUCAGCAGUCAGGUUAGGCACAAGUAGAAAUGGCAGCACAGAAAACCAAACCAAACAAACAAACAAAACUCUCCUUGGAAUAAAAAGUUCUCAAGUGAGGCACCAUACCAAGUUCUCCCACCUGAUGCCACAAGGCUGUGAACCCAGAAAGAUGCAUAGUCCAGGCUUAGAACGCAAACUUGGAGAAAGAAAACAAAGAAGGGGUGGCUCAGCAGACUCUGAUAGGGAGUGAAAUAAUCCUGCCUGUUUAAAUUUAUAAGGACAGUUUGAAAUUCUCUACUAAUACAUCCAUCCUCUUGUGAACUUUUCCGAAGUAGAACUAAUGGCAUAGAAGUUAGCAGAUCUCACAGAAAACUCAUUCCUAAGGGACCACCUGUAAACUCAGAAGUUUCUGUCUUCACGUGAUCAAAUGCUCAGCAGAACCCCCUCUUGCUCACUCACCGGCACUCAAAGUGCUUUACCCCUCAGCACCAAAACCCCCUGUGCCCAGCCUUUCCUCUUCUCUGCUUGGCCCCAGAAAGGCCUCAGGCAAUAGAGCUGCGGGACCCGGGGGAGCACCCCUCCCCUCCCUGCCAUCCCCAUUAUUCGGCACACAGCCCUGUUCUCCCCUGGAGCCAACAGUCUGCAGCUCCUUCAAUGCAGGCGCGAGCAGGCAAGAAUAGUGGGAAGAGAAGCUGUGCCAGCUGCAUGUUUCAGAAUCUCCCUCCAUAUGCAUUUGCCAAAGGAACAAAAAGAAAAUCAACGCCAGGAAGACAACUGAGAUGAGGAUGCGGUGGGACCGCGGCUGACUCCGUGCCUCUUAGCAGCAAGAGGCUGGCCAACCACGCGUCCGAGCCAUAGAUGCGAGUGGUUACCUUCAGGAUGCAGGCCAUGGCGCUCCGCCGGCCCUCCUGCCACCAAGCAGCCGGCGCGCCUGGGUCAGGGGCAGUCCCGGCGGCAGGCUGGAGGCUGGUACCGCUGCAGGACCGCUCCAGCCCACAU
This 3145-nucleotide long non-coding RNA is filed under the name Sus scrofa (pig). RNAcentral's name for it is "lncRNA (ENSSSCG00025013440.1)". Lineage: Eukaryota; Metazoa; Chordata; Mammalia; Artiodactyla; Suidae. The record is from RNAcentral.